CUCCACAGCCAUAUCACCCUGCAGCCCAAGACUGGUUGCCCACUGAAGCUAAGCUGGGUUGAACCUGGUAAGUACCUGGAUGGGAGACCUCCUGGGAAAACUAGGUUGCUGUUGGAA
RNAcentral lists this ribosomal RNA (117 nucleotides) under Sinocyclocheilus grahami. The record is from RNAcentral. Lineage: Eukaryota; Metazoa; Chordata; Actinopteri; Cypriniformes; Cyprinidae.